UACGGGGGGAGCAAGCGUUGUUCGGAUUUACUGGGCGUAAAGGGCGCGUAGGCGGCUCGGUAAGUCACUUGUGAAAUCUCUGAGCUAAACUCAGAACGGCCAAGUGAUACUGCAGUGCUAGAGUGUGGAAGGGGCAAUCGGAAUUCUUGGUGUAGCGGUGAAAUGCGUAGAUAUCAAGAGGAACACCUGAGGUGAAGACGGGUUGCUGGGCCAACACUGACGCUGAUGCGCGAAAGCCAGGGGAGCAAACGGG
RNAcentral lists this ribosomal RNA (253 nucleotides) under uncultured bacterium. RNAcentral describes it as "partial 16S ribosomal RNA". It matches the Rfam family "Bacterial small subunit ribosomal RNA", at positions 524 to 776 of the family's 1533-position model. The record is from RNAcentral.